AUGGGUUUGCCUUUACCUGGAGCUAUAAGACGGGCAUCAUUUAGCAAAAGCCAAACAUCAUCAAAAGUGACAAACGUGCCAAAGGGAUGUCUUGCGGUGUACGUUGGUGAGGAAAUGAAGCGGUUUGUGAUUCCGACAUCAUACUUGAACCAACCUUCAUUUCAAAACUUGUUGAGUCAAGUAGAGGAAGAAUUCGGAUAUGAUCAUCGAAUGGGCGGCCUCACAAUUCCUUGCAUGGAAGAUGUUUUCUUGCAUCUAACUUGUGGCUUCAAUGGUCUAUAA
Vicia faba (fava bean) is the source of this 282-nucleotide non-coding RNA. Lineage: Eukaryota; Viridiplantae; Streptophyta; Magnoliopsida; Fabales; Fabaceae. The record is from the annotation of a GenBank genome assembly.